Molecule: transfer RNA, 71 nt
Filed under: Marmota monax (woodchuck)
Lineage: Eukaryota; Metazoa; Chordata; Mammalia; Rodentia; Sciuridae
Description: tRNA.Ala
Rfam family: tRNA
About the family: Transfer RNA (tRNA) molecules are approximately 80 nucleotides in length.
Source: RNAcentral
GGGGUUGUGGCUCAGCGGUAGAGUGCUUGCCUCGCAUGUGUGAGGCACUGAGUUCAAGCCUCAGCACCACA